RNAcentral lists this long non-coding RNA (259 nucleotides) under Capsicum annuum. Its description in RNAcentral is "long non-coding RNA (CANN_LNC013186)". The record is from RNAcentral. Lineage: Eukaryota; Viridiplantae; Streptophyta; Magnoliopsida; Solanales; Solanaceae.
GGAGUCAUAAGUGGUCUGUCCCUUCGACAUAUGUCUGUGUAAAAUUCCCAAAGGUUGGGAAUCUUUUGCUCUAAUUGAAUUGCUUGUUAAGUUAAUGUCCUAUGUGCUAUUUCAGGAUGGACCCAACUAUGAGGUAUAGAGUUCAAAUGGUUUCCAAAGUCCCUAAAAAGUUAGUCAAGUGGUGGUUUACGUUUAACUACGCUGAGCAGCACGAGCUAAAGAUAGUGUUGGGUAAUCUUACAGCCCUUAUGCGUCUCGC